This 441-nucleotide ribosomal RNA is filed under the name uncultured bacterium. RNAcentral describes it as "partial 16S ribosomal RNA". It matches the Rfam family "Bacterial small subunit ribosomal RNA", at positions 338 to 795 of the family's 1533-position model. The record is from RNAcentral.
CCUACGGGCGGCAGCAGUGGGGAAUAUUGCACAAUGGGGGGAACCCUGAUGCAGCGACGCCGCGUGGGUGAAGGAGCGUUUCGGCGCGUAAAGCCCUAUCGGCAGGGAAGAAGGAGGACGGUACCUGACUAAGAAGCCCCGGCUAACUACGUGCCAGCAGCCGCGGUAAUACGUAGGGGGCAAGCGUUAUCCGGAUUUACUGGGUGUAAAGGGCGUGCAGCCGGGAAGACAAGUCAGAUGUGAAAUCCCGCGGCUCAACCGCGGAACUGCAUUUGAAACUGUUUUUCUUGAGUAUCGGAGAGGUAAUCGGAAUUCCUAGUGGAGCGGUGAAAUGCGUAGAUAUUAGGAAGAACACCAGUGGCGAAGGCGGAUUACUGGACGACAACUGACGGUGAGGCGCGAAAGCGUGGGGAGCAAACAGGAUUAGAUACCCUUGUAGUC